This 476-nucleotide ribosomal RNA is filed under the name uncultured organism. Its description in RNAcentral is "partial 16S ribosomal RNA". It matches the Rfam family "Bacterial small subunit ribosomal RNA", at positions 332 to 800 of the family's 1533-position model. The record is from RNAcentral.
UACACUCCUGCGGGAGGCAGCAGUGGGGAAUUUUGGACAAUGGGCGAAAGCCUGAUCCAGCAAUGCCGCGUGAGUGAAGAAGGCCUUCGGGUUGUAAAGCUCUUUUGUCAGGGAAGAAACGGUGAAAGCUAAUAUCUUUUGCUAAUGACGGUACCUGAAGAAUAAGCACCGGCUAACUACGUGCCAGCAGCCGCGGUAAUACGUAGGGUGCAAGCGUUAAUCGGAAUUACUGGGCGUAAAGCGUGCGCAGGCGGUUUUGUAAGUCUGAUGUGAAAUCCCCGGGCUCAACCUGGGAAUUGCAUUGGAGACUGCAAGGCUAGAAUCUGGCAGAGGGGGGUAGAAUUCCACGUGUAGCAGUGAAAUGCGUAGAUAUGUGGAGGAACACCGAUGGCGAAGGCAGCCCCCUGGGUCAAGAUUGACGCUCAUGCACGAAAGCGUGGGGAGCAAACAGGAUUAGAACCCGUGUAGUCCCAUGA